RNAcentral lists this long non-coding RNA (1642 nucleotides) under Gadus morhua (Atlantic cod). RNAcentral's name for it is "lncRNA (ENSGMOG00000030382.1)". Lineage: Eukaryota; Metazoa; Chordata; Actinopteri; Gadiformes; Gadidae. The record is from RNAcentral.
UUUUAACAAUAACUCUUUCUUAAAAGUUCUUACAAUAAUAGACCCGGAAGUACUUUUGCAGCAACAAAGCCUCCUUAUGCUAGAUCGACAAUAUAGUUAUUUAAUGUUUAGAAGUAGGCUAAGUUCACAAUAAUAAUAAUAAUAAUUAUUAUUAUUAUUAAGACAAUAACCGUAUACGUUUUGUUUUUAAAGCGGCUUGUUUUAUUUAUACAAUCAAAAAACAACAAUAAUCGUUGAAUAAUGAAUAGGCUUUUAGGGGUUUUCAACUAAAAUGUAUUAUGGAAAACGAUCCCGAUCGAGAAUGCUGGACACAAUAAGAAGUCAGCUGAGCGAUGAGGCUCGCCUAGGGUAGGAGUCGUGAAUCUCGCGACACUACAGCUCCGAUUAUAUUGCAGUACAAUGGUACCAUAUCUCCUCGGCUGGCAAAUAAUUAAACUUGUACUAGAAUUCAUCUUGAUUUGAAGGCUUAGUGGCUUCAAAUCGUGGUAAUGGAGAAAUGGAGAUGUCACGUGCGCACAAAACUCAUACAGCGAGACAGCUCACAGAAGGAUCCAUAUGCUGGCAUCUUCAGAAGUUUGUUUCAGCUGCAAGAUAAUUUUGAAAUUCGUCGAGAAAUUUGGGAAGAUCUGCAGAGCCAAAGUUUAGAACAAGAUGGAAUAACAUUUGUGGAACUUCACCUCUGGUUAAGAGAGAGUGAACACCUGUCUAAAAAGUUGUCUCAGACCGUCUCUGACCUGACCAGUGUUUUGUAUUUCAAAGAGGCUGAGCUACAGUACUGGCAGUCUCAGGUAGCCCGUUUCCGUCGGGAGGCUCUGAGCCUGGCUGGAGGCAGCAACUCGCUGAAGGCCACCCUGAACCACCAGGAGUUCACCCUUGAGAGGCAGGCCAAGGAGCUGGCCGCCCUGCAGAAGGAGCACAUGCGCCUGCGGGAGGGGAUGGUGGAGGCCUGGAAGGAGAAAGGGGACCUCCUCCAGAGAUGGAUGGAGGAGAAGAAAGAGGAGGCGGCAAGGGUUAAUAAGUACAAUGACGCACAGGAAAGGUGGCGUCGGUUGGCCAGACGGCUGAAGAAACAACUUCGGGGAGAAACGGUCAAACCUUCGGAGCAGACGGAGAUUGACGUGACGAGUGGCGAAAAAGAAGCAGCAUUCAAACUAGAAUGAGUGACAGCAUUUAUUUUGUAACUUUUUUUCAUCUGUAACUAAUAUCGCUUAAAUAACUUGUUUUACAUUCGCAGUUUAAUGUGAGCACCAUUCCUAGAAGCACAAUCCGAACUCCACUUAAACAGCAACUAAAUAUGCACCUGAUGCAACUCUCUAUUGACUACAUUUAAUGUUGUUUAGAUGGACCGUUUUUAUUGAAUCAACAUGGGCAGGCAUCACUUGUGCAUCAAGCUUACAAACCGAACUAAUAAUUCAAGAUUAUAUGCACCUCCUGAUGACGUUGUAACAUGUUUGUGUUUGUGUAACCUUAUCGGAUUGGUUUUUAGUCCGAUAAGAUCUUAAAGUGAUUCAUGUUUUUUUUACUUUUUAGUGUGACUGACAAGCCUACAUUAUUAUAUUUUAAAAAGACUCGUGGUAGAUAUGCUAUAUAAAUAUAUUGUGUUAUCAACUUUUUUUUAAAAUAAAGCAAUGUGUAACGUGCG